Molecule: ribosomal RNA, 403 nt
Filed under: Lacticaseibacillus paracasei subsp. paracasei
Lineage: Bacteria; Bacillati; Bacillota; Bacilli; Lactobacillales; Lactobacillaceae
Description: bacterial SSU rRNA
Rfam family: Bacterial small subunit ribosomal RNA
Source: RNAcentral
GGGCGUUUGAACCUGAGAGACAGGUUUCCCCUUCGGGGGCAAAAUGACAGGUGGUGCAUGGUUGUCGUCAGCUCGUGUCGUGAGAUGUUGGGUUAAGUCCCGCAACGAGCGCAACCCUUAUGACUAGUUGCCAGCAUUUAGUUGGGCACUCUAGUAAGACUGCCGGUGACAAACCGGAGGAAGGUGGGGAUGACGUCAAAUCAUCAUGCCCCUUAUGACCUGGGCUACACACGUGCUACAAUGGAUGGUACAACGAGUUGCGAGACCGCGAGGUCAAGCUAAUCUCUUAAAGCCAUUCUCAGUUCGGACUGUAGGCUGCAACUCGCCUACACGAAGUCGGAAUCGCUAGUAAUCGCGGAUCAGCACGCCGCGGUGAAUACGUUCCCGGGUCUUGUACACACCG